RNAcentral lists this ribosomal RNA (660 nucleotides) under Guyanagarika aurantia. RNAcentral describes it as "eukaryotic LSU rRNA". It matches the Rfam family "Eukaryotic large subunit ribosomal RNA", at positions 34 to 664 of the family's 3401-position model. Lineage: Eukaryota; Fungi; Basidiomycota; Agaricomycetes; Agaricales; Biannulariaceae. The record is from RNAcentral.
UUAAGCAUAUCAAUAAGUGGAGGAAAAGAAACUAACAAGGAUUCCCCUAGUAACUGCGAGUGAAGUGGGAAAAGCUCAAAUUUAAAAUCUGGCAGUUUAUUUAUUUGGCUGUCCGAGUUGUAAUCUAGAGAAGCAUUAUCCGUGUCGGACCGUGUAUAAGUCUCCUGGAAUGGAGUGUCACAGAGGGUGAGAAUCCCGUCUUUGACAUGGACCCCCCGAUGCUAUUGUGAUAUGCUCUCAAAGAGUCGAGUUGUUUGGGAAUGCAGCUCUAAAUGGGUGGUAAAUUCCAUCUAAAGCUAAAUAUUGGCGAGAGACCGAUAGUGAACAAGUACCGUGAGGGAAAGAUGAAAAGAACUUUGAAAAGAGAGUUAAACAGUAUGUGAAAUUGUUGAAAGGGAAACGCUUGAAGUCAGUGACAUUGAUUAGAAAUCAACUUCAUUCAUUUUGGUGAUGGUGCAUUUUCUUAGUUGAUGGGUCAGCAUUGAUUUUGACCGGCAGAGAAAAACAUUCGGGGGAAUGUGGCAUCUUUUCUUAGAUGUGUUAUAACCCCCAUGAUUGAAUGUGUCGGUUGGAAUCGAGGAAAAUCCUGGGGCCCUUUGUUGGGGGCUUACUUGGGGAUGCUGGCAAUAAUGGCUUUAAUCGACCCGUCUUGAAACACGG